Molecule: ribosomal RNA, 543 nt
Filed under: uncultured Glomeromycotina
Lineage: Eukaryota; Fungi; Glomeromycota
Description: SSU rRNA
Rfam family: Eukaryotic small subunit ribosomal RNA
Source: RNAcentral
UUGGAGGGCAAUCUGGUGCCAGCAGCCGCGGUAAUUCCAGCUCCAAUAGCGUAUAUUAAAGUUGUUGCAGUUAAAAAGCUCGUAGUUGAAUUUCGGGGUUCUACCGUUGGUCGGGCUUUGUCUGUACUGGUGUGUAGAAUUUCUACCUUCUGGGGAACCAUCAUGCUAUUAAUUUAGCGUGGUGGGAAACCAGGACCUUUACCUUGAAAAAAUUAGUGUGUUCAAAGCAGGCUUAUGUCUGAAUACAUUAGCGUGGAAUAAUAGAAUAGGACGGUGGUCCUGUUUUGUUGGUUUCUGAAUCACCGUAAUGAUUAAUAGGGAUAGUUGGGGGCAUUAGUAUUCAAUUGUCAGAGGUGAAAUUCUUGGAUUUAUUGAAGACUAACUUCUGCGAAAGCAUUUGCCAAGGAUGUUUUCAUUAAUCAAGAACGAAAGUUAGGGGAUCGAAGACGAUCAGAUACCGUCGUAGUCUUAACCAUAAACUAUGCCGACUAGGGAUCGGACGAUGUUAAUUUUUCUUGACUCGUUCGGCGCCUUACGGGAAAC